RNAcentral lists this unclassified non-coding RNA (28 nucleotides) under Mus musculus (house mouse). RNAcentral's name for it is "oocyte_clustered_small_RNA6089". The record is from RNAcentral. Lineage: Eukaryota; Metazoa; Chordata; Mammalia; Rodentia; Muridae.
UGUUCAUCACCAAAGGAUGCAGUACUAG